Molecule: ribosomal RNA, 631 nt
Filed under: uncultured bacterium
Lineage: Bacteria
Description: bacterial SSU rRNA
Rfam family: Bacterial small subunit ribosomal RNA
Source: RNAcentral
AGAGUUUGAUCAUGGCUCAGAUUGAACGCUGGCGGCAUGCUUUACACAUGCAAGUCGAACGGCAGCAUAGGUGCUUGCACCUGAUGGCGAGUGGCGAACGGGUGAGUAAUAUAUCGGAACGUGUCCGGAAGUGGGGGAUAACGCAGCGAAAGUUGCGCUAAUACCGCAUAUGCCCUGAGGGGGAAAGGGGGGGAUCGCAAGACCUCUCGCUUUCGGAGUGGCCGAUAUCGGAUUAGCUAGUUGGUGGGGUAAAGGCCUACCAAGGCGACGAUCCGUAGCUGGUCUGAGAGGACGACCAGCCACACUGGGACUGAGACACGGCCCAGACUCCUACGGGAGGCAGCAGUGGGGAAUUUUGGACAAUGGGCGCAAGCCUGAUCCAGCCAUGCCGCGUGAGUGAAGAAGGCCUUCGGGUUGUAAAGCUCUUUCACACGGAAAGAAAACGUGCAGAUUAAUACUCUGUAUGGAUGACGGUACCGUCAGAAGAAGCACCGGCUAACUACGUGCCAGCAGCCGCGGUAAUACGUAGGGUGCGAGCGUUAAUCGGAAUAAUGGCGUAAAGCUCCGCGGCGUUUCGAACACAAUGUGAAUCCCGGGCUCACCUGGAAUGCUUUGUGNUGCAGCUAAGUUA